UACGAAUGGUGCAAACGUUGCUCGGAAUUACUGGGCGUAAAGCGCGCGUAGGCGGCUUUGCAAGUCGGGUGUGAAAUCCCCAGGCUUAACCUGGGAACUGCAUUCGAGACUGCAUUGCUAGAGUAUGGGAGAGGGAAGUGGAAUUUCCGGUGUAGCGGUGAAAUGCGUAGAUAUCGGAAGGAACAUCAGUGGCGAAAGCGACUUCCUGGACCAAUACUGACGCUCAUGUGCGAAAGCGUGGGGAGCAAACAGG
Molecule: ribosomal RNA, 253 nt
Filed under: uncultured bacterium
Lineage: Bacteria
Description: partial 16S ribosomal RNA
Rfam family: Bacterial small subunit ribosomal RNA
Source: RNAcentral